CGCCUCCUGUAGAAUUAAUAUAAGAGGUACUGCCUGCCCAGUGACACCGUUUAACGGCUGCGGUAUAAUGACCGUACAAAGGUAGCAUAAUCACUUGUCUCUUAAAUGGGGACCCGUAUGAAUGGCAAAACGAAAGCCCAACUGUCUCCUCAAACUAAUCAGUGAAAUUGAUAUUUUCGUGCAAAAGCGAAAAUAAUUGUAUAAGACGAGAAGACCCUGCGGAGCUUAAAACCUAAAUUAAUAAAGUAUAUAAUCUAAAGGCUUUAGGUUGGGGCGACCACGGAGAACAGUAAAUCCUCCGAGAUAUAUAAUUUAGAAAAACACUUCAAAAUAACACUACAAUUGAUAUAAUUGACCCAAUAAUUGAUCAACGAACCAAGUUACCCCAGGGAUAACAGCGCAAUCCUCUCACAGAGUUCCUAUCGACGAGCGGGUUUACGACCUCGAUGUUGGAUCAGGACCACCAAAUGGCGCAGCAGUUAUUAAAGGUUCGUUUGUUCAACGAUUAAAGUCCU
RNAcentral lists this ribosomal RNA (515 nucleotides) under Plethodon richmondi (ravine salamander). Its description in RNAcentral is "partial 16S ribosomal RNA". It matches the Rfam family "Bacterial large subunit ribosomal RNA", at positions 1817 to 2597 of the family's 2925-position model. The record is from RNAcentral. Lineage: Eukaryota; Metazoa; Chordata; Amphibia; Caudata; Plethodontidae.